AGAUCAGCAGCAGUCAUCAGUCCCUCUUUGCAAUCAGUAAAUAGCCUCUCCCUCUGGCCCCAAACAAAGGAUGCAGGCAACAGAAGGCAGCCGCAGCCCUUGCGCUCCCCUCUGAGCAGCUGCCAAAAAGUCCUCUCUCCCCUCGUGUGAUCAUAAUGGAAGGGACGGCUCUGCUGGGGUGUGCUGGCGCGUUCUGCCUCGCUGCCCAGCGCGGGAUGCUCUCCCUUCACGCUCCGCUGCCUUGGAGCUGCACGCAGGAGUUGCCUCCAGCAGCCCUUGCCAGCCCCUGGAUAUUUUGGACACUGAGUGCUGCAUGAACAAUAGGAACGCAGCUCUUGGCCAGGAGUCGAGGCCAAGCAAAGAGCUCCCGGACUGUGACCAGUAAAAAGCAGGAGAGAUUUUCUUCUAGCGCUGUAUCAUGAAGGGGAGUGGGUGGCUGGGAAGGGCUUCUCUCUCUCCCUGUUUAUUCUUGUCGAGGAGAAAUCUUUGCCUGCUGAAGGAGUGUGAAAGCACCAAGUGCCCAUUCAGGCUGUAAGAUACACCAAGGACUUUAGCGCUAACUCACAUUAAAGCUCUCCAUGGCAAUGGUGUGAAUACAUGUAGCAUCAAGCAGAAGCAGAGAGCUUCUGGGAUCAGAGAGGGUUGUACUGGUCAGGGGAAACAGGACAAGCAGGGCAGCUUUUAUUCAUUCCAGCCCCAAAUAUCUCUGCAGUUCUACCUUGCUCUGCAAAAGUCUCCCAGGUUCACUUGUUCCUCUGAGAUUUCUUUCAUCCUGCUUAGUGAGCUCACAGCUGCAGCUGCUGAAAGGUCUGAGCUGCAUUAAAGCUUGGAGCUGGGGAACAGAUCUCCUACAACUUGGGGCAAGAGGGGAAGCCCAGGCUGAAAGAACCAGACCUGGCUGAGGUGAUCCCACAAGGGGCUGCAGUCCCAGCUCUCACCAUGCUGAGAACUCAGGAGAAGGGGACCCCAGCUGCUUGUGGGUGGGGUAAAAAUGUGGAAGUGAAUACAGCCAGCCAAGAUUACUUCUUGGAUCAGAUUCCAAGUGUCCAGGAAUUCCAGGCUGAAGUUCUUUCCAUUAGAUCCUGCUGUCACCUAAUACAAACUGCUGCUGAUAGCAGGUUGCAGAUUUGAGACAAAAGCAGUGAAGUGGUUCUUCAGUUUGCCUGGGUUCCUGGAACUGACAGGCAUCAGCACCAGAGAUGGCAUGCUAGGCUGGAGAUAAUAUUUUUAUCUAGCCUCACUGGCACGUUAACCUGGAGAGAAAGAGGUCAUCUUCUAACUCAGGACCAUGCCUGCAUGACUUGGAGCCUGCAUCUCAUUGUCUGAUGGGAGAAGCACCAUAUCCAGGGCAAGGUCUUUCUUUUGCAGGCAGACCUCUGUGUCUGCAUGGUGGCUCACUGACUUAUCCACUGGUACAAGGAUCCUCCAGAGUGGGUCUAUGGACUUAGAUCCUAAGCAGGAAGCAAUAGAUUGUGCUAUGCAUUCAUUUCAAUUUCUUUACUCCGUGGUAAGUUGGAAAAAUUACCUAAGAAUUAGUUUUCACAAAAUAAUAUAUAUGGUACUUCAAAUUGGCGUUUUUAGUCAACUCUAAUUUCUUUGUCAAAUAAGUAGGUUCUUGCUUUUUCUAUCCAUAAAGACAGUUUUGCUUCUGAGACUCCUAACUCAGCACUCAGAAUGACAGAAGUUGUUAUUUUCUGAUCACUAGAGUGUUUAGAGAAAGAGCUUUCCUUAUUUUCCUUCUUUUUUAAAUACCAGCCAGUUUUCUCUUCUGUAGAUCAAAGCUUUCAUGACUUUUUUGUAUGUUUGUUUGUUUGCCUGUGCAGUUGUUUCUCAGGGUCAGAAAUGAUUUAGAAUGCAAAGGAGAAAAAGAAAUAAUCUUUUUUUUCCCUUUAGCUUUUUAAA
Long non-coding RNA from Numida meleagris (helmeted guineafowl), 1902 nucleotides. Lineage: Eukaryota; Metazoa; Chordata; Aves; Galliformes; Numididae. The record is from Ensembl.